This 645-nucleotide long non-coding RNA is filed under the name Pan troglodytes (chimpanzee). RNAcentral's name for it is "long non-coding RNA NONPTRT000107". The record is from RNAcentral. Lineage: Eukaryota; Metazoa; Chordata; Mammalia; Primates; Hominidae.
GACGACAGGCAUGCACCACCACACCCUACUAAUCUUUUAAUUUUUUGUAGAGACAGGAUCUCCCUAUGUUGCCCAAGCUGGUCUCAAACUCCUGGACUCAAGCAAUCCUCCUACCUCGGCCUCCUGAAGUGUUGGGAUUACAGGCAUGAGCCACGGUGCACAGCAAGAGCUUUAACCUUAAUGACCAUUCAUUCUCUACCCCACAUUACCUACAACUGAUACAGGGUCUGGAGCUUUUCUCAGAGAGCCAGCUGUCUGACAGCCUCGGUGCAGCAACACCUCAUCAGACACACCAAGAAUUCCACAGCAUCUUCACAGCAGACUCUGGAGAGAUUCUGAUCUAGUCUUCAACCAACCAGGGGAAAUCCACGCUUGUGAAAACUUCCAGGCACCAGCAAUAAUUUCCCCCCUUCCCACGCUCCUCCCCAGUCUCCUGGGCCCUUUUCCAUCUUAGCUCUGUUUCUGCAGGAAGCAGGACAAAAAGGAUUCCAUUUUAAGCAAGUGUAGAAGAAAGAGCACAGACUCAGCACUCUUGGGACCUGGCUUUGCAGCUCGGCUCUGCCAAAAACAACGUUGGACAUUUCACUCAUGCUCUCUGAGCCUCAGAGUCGUCAGCUAGGUAACAGGAAUCCAUCAUUAAAACAG